GUUUUGUAUAGUACUUUCUUUACUCCUUACUAAACUGUCUGAAAAGGGUAAUAUUUUAUGUAUUUGAGGCCUGAGAUGUGGGAACAGUGAAGAGAGAGAGGACAAACAUUUUGCUUUUUAGGUCAGCAUUGCUAUCUAAUCAGCCAAUACUGUCUUAAAUUGCCCGAAUAGUACUUAACAUGGGAUUUUGACCAGAUAUAUUCAAUCUUGAUUUUUGUAAGAUGUUAUUUAUUUAUUUUUCUUGUGUGUGUGUGUGUGUGUGUGUGUGUGUGAGAGAGAGAGAGAGAGAUAUGUCAGUACUUCCAUCUUAAAAAUAGGGGUGUGAAUCUUCACAAUUCAGUUCCAUUAUGAUUAUCAUUAUCAACUCAAUAUCACGCUAGUAACAUUGUUACUAUAAUGUUACUAGGUCCCCGACCCGGGUUCAAUCCCGGGACGUGUUUGCUUUCACACAGAAGUCAACCCGGCAAUGUUCGCCAGAUCCGACGUGCAGUGUGAAAGGGGCUAGAGAGAGAGAAAUUACAGUUUUGGACAUGUAAGAUUUUUGGCAAAGUCUAAUCUGGUCUUGUUUGCACCUUGUGGUGAACCAUUUGCUCUCGUGAAGUCCUCUCUUGAUUGUAGACUUUGACACUUGGCUGGACGUUGUGAAAGUUUUUUUUCUUUACCAUGGAGAGGAUCCUCCGAUCAUCCACCACUGUUAUCCUCCAUGGACGUCCAGGAUGUUUUAUGUUGCUGAGCUCACCAGUGCAUUAUUUCUCACAUUUUUCAGAAUGUACCAAUCUGUUGAUUUGGCCACUCCUAAUGUUCCUGCUAUCAUUCUGAUGGAUUUGUUUUGUUUUUGAAGUCUAACCAUUCACCUGCAUGGAGAGAUCCUUUGACUGCAUGAUGUGGGUUCACAGCAACAGCUUCCAAAUGCAAAUGGAACACUUAGAAUCAACUCUGCUUUUACCUGCUUAAUUGAUGUAGAAAUAAAGGAUUGGCCCACACCUGUCCAUGAAACUGCUUUUGAGUCAAUUGUCCAAUUACUUAUUGUCCCUUGCACUUUAAGCCCAUAUUCAUUAUAACUGUAACUUGAAUAUGUUUUGGUCAACAGCUAAAAUAAUAAAAAAAAAUUCCCUGUGUCCAAAUAUAUGGACCUAACUGUAUAUAUAGAGCUUAUCAAAUAUGGUUAACGGAAGGUCAGCAGUGCUUGUUUGUUGCAUGAAACCCAAUGAGGAACGACUUGAGGAUGAUUAAUUGGUGACAGAAUGUUCAUUUUUUUGGGUGAACUAUUGCUUUAUGACAUAUUCCUAAAUCAACUGCAAUGGAGCUGUCAA
Molecule: long non-coding RNA, 1313 nt
Organism: Cyprinus carpio carpio
Lineage: Eukaryota; Metazoa; Chordata; Actinopteri; Cypriniformes; Cyprinidae
Source: Ensembl